RNAcentral lists this non-coding RNA (30 nucleotides) under Mus musculus (house mouse). The record is from RNAcentral. Lineage: Eukaryota; Metazoa; Chordata; Mammalia; Rodentia; Muridae.
AUGAAGCUAAUCACAUACUCCUUCAGUCGG